RNAcentral lists this long non-coding RNA (2355 nucleotides) under Nicotiana benthamiana. RNAcentral describes it as "long non-coding RNA (NBEN_LNC013443)". The record is from RNAcentral. Lineage: Eukaryota; Viridiplantae; Streptophyta; Magnoliopsida; Solanales; Solanaceae.
UCAACGACCCCCCAAACCCGACACCCCGUCUUAUUCACACACCACGUCCCUCUCCUUUCGUCUCUCUCAAAGACCCAACCAUACCCAAGAACCCUAGCGCCGCCCCCUGACCCCUUCACCAGAAACCCGAAGGCAACAACGUCGCCAGCGACCAAACUAACACCCUAAAACCAUUGGACCACCCUUUAUCCAAAUCCCUUAUUAGCUAAACUCGAAUCAUUCCCCAUCGUUUCAAAUCUUCGUUUGAAGACUCGAGUUCAACCUGGACCUAACCCAACUGAUCCAAACUUACACCAAACACUCCCAUGACCUCCCUAGUAACCAAACCAUGCUUGGUUUGGUUGGAAUCUAACCCGAAAGAGUCAACCCUGAAUCGACCUCUACGAACCCUAAAAUCCAAAGCCUCGAGUCUUGUUGGAAUUAAAAGGAAUUUAUGGGUUUAACUGACCUUAGUCAAAGUAUUCUCAGUCGAAAAUACUUAAGCUAAGGUCUGUUCAACCUCAAAUUGGUCGAAUCUGAGUACGAACGGGGUUCAUCUAGUUCUCUGAGGUAAUUUUUCUUUUCUCCUUUAUUCUAUGUAUAUCUGUUUAUAUGUUUAGUAUAGUUUUUGUUUUUUCUAAUUUUUUUCAAUGAUUUUGUUUUCUUCUUCUCAAUCCAGACCUUUUAUUUGGUCGAUUUUUUCUCUUAUCCAUCGUUAAGUAGGAACUAUAAACUAUACAUUCGAUUUGAUUAACAUCGUCGAAUAAUUAAUUUUAUGAGUCCCAAGUUUUUUCCAAAGUAGUUAAUCACUUUGUUUGUAUGAUGAUUAUUUGUUAUCGAUUGUAUAUAUUGUAAUAAAUAGUCAAUUAAAUAAGUGUCAACGAUUAGUAUUGUAGGUUUGAAUGUUAAAACAAGUUGAUAGUAAUGCUUGAAUUGUGUUUGAAUCUGUUUGAAUUAAGUCCGUUCAUGUGAGGUUAAUUCAUCAUAAUGUUGAAAUUGUUCAGUCAUUCGUUUUUAAAUUGAGUUGCUUAGUCAGCCUAAAUGUCAUGAAUUAGUCAUGAACUUUUGAGCCAAGUCAGUUUGUCCAUAUGGUUAGUCCCUCUAGUUGUUAUUUGAAUUAAAAUACUAGGAUUGAGUGGGAAGCCAUGUGCUGUCAGGGCAUGCUUGGAUUUAAAAUUAAGGCUGCCCAUACACCUUUGAUUAAAAAACUAAAAAGGAAAUACAUUUGAACCAUGCUUAGUACCUUUUAGUUAAAAAAUUAGAAGCAUGUGGGCUGUCAGGGGAAUAUACUCCCAUUUGAACUUUUGAGUGGAAAUUCAAGGAAGAACAUGAGAGUAUAAUGGGGUUAAUUAACUAAGGUUUAAACAGGCUGGAAAUGGGGUUGUUUCGGGCGAAAGGCAGACAAUUUUGGAUUAUAAAUAGAGCAUGUUACUGUUUCAUUAGGGACAUAUUUAUGCAUCAGAAAUUGAGAGUUGAAGAGUGAACUUAAGCAGAGGUAUACAGAUAGAGAGAAAAAUUUCUUGUUUUUCUUUGAGUGGUCAUAAGCAGAAGUAGUUACAUUCAUCACAUCUGUUUCAUUUCUGUUGUGACUGUUUUUUCUUUUUGAGUGUUCAAAAAAUCAGAAGCUUUGUUUUCUUAUGACUGGACCUCUUUUGCUUUGGGAUUUGAGUGCAUUUGGUAUUACUGGAGUUCAUUUGGUACUGAUAUUCAUCUUUUGGAAUAUCUAAUACUCGUUUGGGUGUUGUUGAGUUGAUGUUGGUUCUGGUAGUAUUGCCAUAUACUUGGUGUUGCUGUUUGGAUUUUUCUGGAAUUGGUGUUGGUUUCUUUAAGUAUCCUGCUUGAUUUCAAAUCCUUCUUGGGUCUCUAUUGCCAUUGGUUCAUUGUUAUUUGUUGUUAAAGUUGUGUUGAUGUGUUUGUUCACUGCUGCACUACUGAUAUUCCUUUGCUUCUUUAGCAUUUUUCAAUAUCAGGUACACAACUCUUAUGCUGGUACAAUGUAGCUGAAACAACUUUGAAGCAUGAAUAAAACAAGAGCCUUAAAGCUCAAAACCACUAGCUGUAGUCUUUCCUUCUUAAGUUCUAUAUAUAUGCAUGAUUAGUUUUCAUUCUAUUGAAGUUAUGUAAUUAGUUGCAAUGUAUCAACUAGGUCCAAUUUGUAAUAAGUUAAAGUCGCAAACUCAUGUAUGCUAGUUAGACUAGGAUCAGUACUGCAGUAUGUUUUCCGCCAUUUUAGUUCGUUUCACCUGUAGUCCGUUUAAAAUGCAUGACUAAGUUCAAAUUUGUUAAGUAAUCAGUAGUUCACCUGCGUAAUUAAUUAUUUGUUCAUUCAACCCUUGCAAACAAUUUUUCUUUUCCUUAGUGUUUGAUUUUGUUUCU